This 357-nucleotide ribosomal RNA is filed under the name uncultured bacterium. RNAcentral's name for it is "bacterial SSU rRNA". It matches the Rfam family "Bacterial small subunit ribosomal RNA", at positions 71 to 422 of the family's 1533-position model. The record is from RNAcentral.
ACCAGAGCUUCGGCUCUGGGGAAAGCGGCGAACGGGUGAGUAACACGUGGGUAAUCUGCCCUCGGCACCGGGAUAGCCCGGGGAAACCCGGAUUAAUACCGGAUGGCCUCUCGCGCUCUCGAGCGCGAAAGAAAAGGUGGCUUCGGCUUCUGGCCGAGGAUGAGCCCGCGGCCGAUUAGCUUGUUGGUGGGGUAAUGGCUCACCAAGGCUCCGAUCGGUAGCUGGUCUGAGAGGACGAUCAGCCACACUGGGACUGAGACACGGCCCAGACUCCUACGGGAGGCAGCAGUGGGGAAUCUUGCGCAAUGGGCGAAAGCCUGACGCAGCGACGCCGCGUGCGGGAAGAAGGCCUUCGGG